UAUUCAUUUUUAGUGUAAAAUUGAAGGAGUAAAUAGAAAUUCCAUCAAAAUUCUUAGCCGAUCCCUUUCAAGCAUCAUAGUCCUUCAGUAAUUCCAAUAAGACUAGCUAUGUUGACAUUGACUAUUAUAUUGUCAUCAAUCAUAUAGUCCAUUAUGCAUGUGUCAAUUUCAAACAAUAGCCUACCAAUGAACUUUCUUAGUAAUAAAUGGACAUUUUUCCUCGCCUUGGAAGAUUUUAACACCUUUGAAGUAAGACAUGUGAUAGAAGAAGAAUCUAUGAACUUUUCAACUAUAGGUUUUUGUGGAAAAGUGGGUAAUAUACUUCAAGAAAAUGACAAAUAAUCUUUUUUGUUUUGUCUAGCUUGACUAACUAGAUAAGAUAUUGAUUAAUCUUUAUUGUCAAGGUGCCUUGGAAGCUCCUUCAAGUAACCAAGAAAAUUCAAUCCUUAAAAUUACUUAGUUUGUACUAUCAUUGCAAGUAAAUGCCAAAUGUUAUUUAUCAUCUUCUUAUCAAUGUUAAACAAAUGAAAAUUAUGAAAUUACGUAAACUAAGGUCAAAUUUAAUUGAUGGUCUAGACUAGGAUAAUUAUUAACAACUUGGAAGCCUUUAAGACUAGGAAUUACUAUCCUAGACCUACUUUUCCUGACAUGCAGUUUGAGGAAAGAAAUCAGUAUACUCAAGCCUCAUACACUAGUGGUACUAUCUAUGAAUGGAAUAUAGACGGUAUGACCGAGUAUAACAUACUAUAUAUAUAUAUAUAUAUAUACUUAAACAAAAACAUGCUUGUCUAGUGAAUGCCUUUCAAAUGAUAGUUUAAGAGUUCAAGGUAUCUUAUAGUAUAUGUCUAUCAUUAGUAUUCAUUUUUAGUGUAAAAUUGAUGGAGUAAAUAGAAAUUCCCUCAAAAUUCUUACCUGGUCCCUUUCAAGAAUCAUAGUCCUUCAAUAAUUCCAAUGAGACUAGCUAUGUUGACAUUGACUAUUAUAUUGUCAUCAAUCAUACAGUCCAUUAUACAUGUGUCAAUUUCAAACAAUAGCCUACCAAUGAAUUUUCUUAGCAAUAAAUGGACAUUUUUCCUAACCUUGGAAGACUUUAACACCUUUGCGGUAAGACAU
This 1113-nucleotide long non-coding RNA is filed under the name Vitis vinifera (wine grape). RNAcentral's name for it is "long non-coding RNA (VVIN_LNC005572)". Lineage: Eukaryota; Viridiplantae; Streptophyta; Magnoliopsida; Vitales; Vitaceae. The record is from RNAcentral.